AUACGGAGGGUGCAAGCGUUGUUCGGAAUUAUUGGGCGUAAAGCGCGUGUAGGCGGCUUGGUAAGUCAGGUGUGAAAGCCCUUAGCUCAACUAAGGAAAGUCAUCUGAAACUGCCAGGCUUGAGUACGGGAGAGGAGAGUGGAAUUCCCGGUGUAGAGGUGAAAUUCGUAGAGAUCGGGAGGAACACCCGUGGCGAAGGCGACUCUCUGGACCGAUACUGACGCUGAGACGCGAAAGCGUGGGGAGCAAACAGGAUUAGAAACCCGGGUAGUCC
Molecule: ribosomal RNA, 274 nt
Filed under: uncultured bacterium
Lineage: Bacteria
Description: partial 16S ribosomal RNA
Rfam family: Bacterial small subunit ribosomal RNA
Source: RNAcentral